Molecule: ribosomal RNA, 443 nt
Filed under: uncultured bacterium
Lineage: Bacteria
Description: bacterial SSU rRNA
Rfam family: Bacterial small subunit ribosomal RNA
Source: RNAcentral
CCUACGGGUGGCAGCAGUUAGGAAUCUUGCGCAAUGGGGGAAACCCUGACGCAGCAACGCCGCGUGAAGGAUGAAGGCUUUCGGGUUGUAAACUUCUUUUAGCAGGAAAGAACACAAUGACGGUACCUGCAGAAAAAGCACCGGCUAACUCUGUGCCAGCAGCCGCGGUAAUACAGAGGGUGCAAGCGUUAUUCGGAUUUACUGGGCAUAAAGAGCGCGUAGGCGGUCUGAUAAGUCUGAUGUGAAAUCCCUGGACCUAAUCCAGGAAGUGCAUCGGAUACUGUCAGACUAGAGUACAGGAGGGGACAGCGGAAUUCCUGGUGUAGAGGUGAAAUUCGUAGAUAUCAGGAGGAACAACAGCGGCGAAGGCGGCUGUCUGGACUGUCACUGACGCUGAGGCGCGAAAGCGUGGGGAGCAAACAGGAUUAGAUACCCUGGUAGUC